UCUACCUAGGAGCAAUUCUGUUCCACAUAUCUGACAGAUGAAUCCCAAAUGCCCUACCGGGAGAUGUUCUCCGGGGUUCAGUUAGAGUCAUUGAGUGGGAACGUGUUAAGGUUAAGGUUGUACCUAUCUUCUGAUACUUUAGUAGCAGAAUGUCAGAGCGUAUACUCUGAGCCGUUCUUUACCGAGUUGCCGAGGCUGAUGGCUCUGUCUCAGAGGAGGAGUGUUUAAGUCCUACAGAGUGCACAAGAGAGGCUGUGCUUAAAUUCUCAGUGCCAACCAAACAACAGCAAAGACGCCACAUCAUCAUGACCAGAGGGCUGAUCCACCCAAUCAUGUGGUGGGAAUAAUAAAGUGCUCCAAAGGGGUUGUUUUGAGUAGGGAACGUGUUCUAUGAGUCUGAGGAGAGAGAAGGCAGGGAUGGGUGUGCUAUAUGUGUAUGGGACGGAGAGCCAGGAGGAUUCAUAGGCACACUUCAGGCUAGGAACGACUCUGCAACCCUGUGUCUUGAUGCCAGUGCUCCUGCGACUCUCCCAUUAAUUCCCUGGGACCAAUUUAGAUUUCCUAAUUCUCAAUAUAUAAUCAAAUUACUUCCCCGAAAUUACCGGGUGUGUGUUUGGGGGUUGGGGGAUGCUGUUAUUCCGUAGAGAGUUCGUCCGAGUUAUCGAGUUACUAUUUUCAUCAUAGAAAGUAAAAACGGAGGGGUGUGAGAAUUUACCAAGAGGCACAGGUUUUUGUUUGUUUAUUUGUUGACUCAGGUUUCAUUUCUGGGAACUGGUUCUCUGGAACUGCAUGAUUCAAACACGCUUCCCAACUCUGGAGUUCUGUGCCACAGCUCCUGGACAUCUAAACUUGGAUAUCCUGAUCGCACACGGUAAGAGCAAGAUCUCUAUGCUAUGCCCAUAUGUACCUAGCUGAAGGGGCACGCGGCUAUGAAACCAGAUCAACUAGGAUUCUGACGGUGGACACACUACGUCACCUUUUGGAAUGUCCCCACGACCACUGAAAAUUGAAACAAUUUGUAAACUGUGUGUAUGUGUUUACUUUCCUAAAAUUCUUAUGGCUUACUGGGAGUCUAGCUAAACCAAGGAGUCUCGCUGCAAGCAUCAUGCAGGCCGGGAGGGGGCAGCAGACUCCAGCCAUGCGGUCCCUGGGCCAACACAGCCUGGCGGAGAAGCCAGCCAGUUCAUAGUGUAUUGGCUCCAUUAUUCCAGAGCUGCACCCUAGGCCGAGGAAAGCAGAAGGACAUGGAAUCAAGGACUCCACGUCUCAGGAACCACCUCCUGAGAAGACUAGGCUGAAUACACACUAAGGCGAGUCGCAGCUAGAAAGUGCGCCUGUGCAGUACAGCAUCUAGAGUGAGGGACUGCUCUUGUGCAUCACUGCUUUCUCCGCCUUCUCCAGCUGCUGCAAGGGCUCAAGGGUGCAGAAAUCCACAGACUCUGGGGCUGGGUAAAUGAUUAUCCCUGCCACAUUCAUCAUUCAUGCAGCUCCCAGGAAGAAUGACUGCUCUAUAUUGGACAUAAAUGUACUGACGGAGUAAUUGAAUAAGAAAACCAUUCAGAAGUUGAAGGAAAACAGUUCUUCACAGUUUGAGUGCACACACGUCUGCGUGUAUUUCACUAGAAAGGACACUCUCCAUAAGGAAAGAUUACUUUUGCGUAAGAGAGUUUGACACGAGGGUUUCUACGUGACGCUGUUUGACAAGGAUAUGACAGCUAUUUCAUGACAAUGUUUGGAUACUCCAGCGUCUAAGAAGCUUGUUUUGUUUUAUUGAACAUUAAGAAAAUAUCCGAGGAAGUGAUCGAGAUUGAGGUUUUAACUCAACUAGAUGGCAUCCCAGCAAUUCCUCAUGAGUCAUGUCUAUAUGAAUUAACACAGAAGCCUUAGAAAACAUGUUACCCUCCCAAUAAGUACGGUCAACAUUUAGUCAAAAUACUUCAUUGUUGCAGAGCUUUCUGAGGCUGGCUUUGUGGGUACAGUGUAUCCAUAGCUGACUGAAUUAACUGAAGAUCUUCUUCGCUGAUUCUACACAUUUCUCAUCAUCAAAAGGCUUCCUCUGGCUGCCAGGCUGAAGAAAUUUCUUCACUGUGGGGAGGUUGCUGAC
Molecule: non-coding RNA, 2104 nt
Organism: Rattus norvegicus (Norway rat)
Lineage: Eukaryota; Metazoa; Chordata; Mammalia; Rodentia; Muridae
Source: RefSeq, a predicted model, not a curated record